UACGGAGGGGGUUAGCGUUGUUCGGAAUUACUGGGCGUAAAGCGCGCGUAGGCGGACCAGAAAGUUGGGGGUGAAAUCCCGGGGCUCAACCCCGGAACGGCCUCCAAAACUCCUGGUCUUGAGUUCGAGAGAGGUGAGUGGAAUUCCGAGUGUAGAGGUGAAAUUCGUAGAUAUUCGGAGGAACACCAGUGGCGAAGGCGACUUACUGGCUCGAUUCUGACGCUGAGGUGCGAAAGUGUGGGGAGCAAACAGG
Molecule: ribosomal RNA, 253 nt
Filed under: uncultured bacterium
Lineage: Bacteria
Description: partial 16S ribosomal RNA
Rfam family: Bacterial small subunit ribosomal RNA
Source: RNAcentral